GCCUGGCUGCGAUUAGAAGCUUCAGGUAGUGGGGCAUGGAUGGAAGGGAUAGUAAGGUGAGGGGGUGGCGGGUCUCCUGCGGUGAAACGGUGGUGGAUGGUUCACCGGACGACCGUCGUUGGGGCGCUGCAACCCGUCAGGACGUCAGUUUGCUGUCGUACCGCGACACGGUCGGAUCUUAUUUCGUAAUCAUCACGUACACGUACGUACACGUAUACACGCGCGUGAGAAUUAUUAGUAAGAAUUAUUUGUUUCGGAAUCGUAACGGUUUUCUCGUGAUAAAUAAUCGAUAAUAAACGGGUAUUUAACGUGAAAUGACACUAAUCACGUGAUCGGUGAUUCGCGAUACGAAGUGAGAAAGGAUCGUUUAAUCUCUAGUUUCGAACGUUUUUUUGUUCGCGAUUGAACACGUUCGUUGAAUUUUAUGUGCAAGUGUUCGUGUUAACUCGCUUAAAUUCUGUGUAUAUGAGGUCCAGUUAAGUUUCGUGUCUUCGUAAAAAUAAAAUAUAUACGAUUCAAGGACGUAUGCUCUCGAGUGUUACAAGAGAGAGCACAGUGUUAAAAAUAAUAUAUAUUGAAACUUGGAAGGUUAAGUGAUACGUUUGUUGACAUCUAUAACAUUGUUGGAGAAUGUUAUUACGUGGAAAUUCGUGGAAUAAUAAUCAUUAGAACGCAUAUUCACAAGCAAUAUUUGAUUGAGGAGAAAGAUUUGAAUUUUUGUUUCGCGUUUUAUCCACCGUAGCGUUGUGGGCGAUCGAGAAUCGAAAGUGCGCUGCAAUCGAUCUAUCGAUAGAAUCGAAAGUUGAAAUGUUCGCGAAAGAACGUCGAAUAUGCGAAACACGAGUGUACAGUUAAUCGAGGCAUGUACGCGUAACCGUCAUGGGUCGUUAUCGAAAGAGUUUCAAUUAAAUUUCUCGUGAGGAAGGUCAAGUGCGCUGUUCAGUUUUCAGUUUUAAUUAAAAUACCCCUGAGAUUCUCUAUUGUCGUGCUUGUGUCUAAAAUUAAUUAACGACGGGUAAAGACAACGGGCAGGAGAAGGCGAAUAAGCAAGAUUAUGACAAAGUGCGAAGAAGGUAAUAACAUAACCUAUAAAAAAUCAAUGACCAUCGUGCGACAAUAGAAUUGACGGGAGUGUUUUCCGUUCGAACGAUUCGAUAUAUCGAUCGUGGAAAGGAUAGAAGAGAAAACAGUAUCGAUGUGUUUUCUGUGGUUGAAUUCGCGUGUGCGACGACUCAACAAGAGAGUUCGAUCAGAUUUUCGUUAAACGUUCGUUUUUUCGCGAGUGAGAAAUUGUGUUGCGUGCGGAAAGAGGACAUAAUCGUAGAAGGAUAAGUGAGAAAGAAAAUGGGAAAAAAAUGAGCAGCCUUUUCAAUCUGUGACGUACCUACGACGGAGCGAUGAAAACGGCAUAGCAACGGCAAUAGCUCGUCCCAACGUCCAACGGGCACGUAUUAUGUGAGGUGAAACUUGCAACGAGGGAAACGAAGAUGUCCGCCAUCAGCGUGGCUGCAUGGCUGCUCAGCGCCGUCGCUUUCGCCGCGAUUAAUAACGGUAAGCGAUUUCAUCGUGACCACCUGGGGAAUGGGAGGAAAAGUUCGAACAAAUUAUUUUCUAUCUCGGCUCGUAACAUGG
Molecule: long non-coding RNA, 1632 nt
Organism: Apis mellifera (honey bee)
Lineage: Eukaryota; Metazoa; Arthropoda; Insecta; Hymenoptera; Apidae
Exons: 3
Source: RefSeq, a predicted model, not a curated record